UAAAAAAAAAAAAAAAAAAACCUGUACAACAAAAAUUUGCAGGACUAAACAUUUGGAUGAAGUUUCUAAUUCUCAAUAGAUGUGAGACUUUGACAAAAACCAAUCAAAAAUAGAAUGAAUACCAGACACAAACAACCAUUACUCAGAUUCACUGUAAGGAAAUGAAGAACAGGGAUCGAUUGAAUUCAGAAAUUUUAGAACAGACCCUAAAAUGGGAAGAAUUCUGAAUACUACAUUGUCAAUCUCUCUCGUCAGGUGACCAUUGCUCCUGACACUUGCGCCUUGCAUCAACUGAUACCGCAUUCUACUGGGUAUGGAUUCACCUUGUCUUUCCUGAUCGAACGCGUACAACAGGCAAUGCACUUUGCCCAAAAAAAAACUAAACAGUGAAAUCAGAGUAAUAAAAUGGAACCCUAUCAUGUAUGAUGGAAGUUGGCUGUGACAUCAAAAUCCCUAGUUAUUACAGGGUAGGUUAACGACAAUGGACUCUUAAAUAGCAGAAACCAAUGGCUGGCUGCACAUUCCUGGCCCCCCACCCAUCCUUUGAUGCAGGAAUAGGCAACAGGAAAAUGAAGCCAAUACUAGACAGUGACCAAUACAUCAAACAUUCCAUCACAGCAGAGAUAAAUAAGAACGAAGACGCAACUUUUGAGAAGAUGCAUUAACUUCCUGUCACGCACUUCUACCACAAUGGCUUCUAUGCAUCCCUGGGACUCAUGUAAAUAAUCCAUCUGCCAAUAGCAGGUACAGAAGAUUUAACCUUCUAAAUUGCAUUAAAAUUUGCAACACAAAAACAAGUAAACAAGGUAAAGCAACUGAUUAAUCAUAAACAGAUAGUGAAUUAUCGCAGAUACCAAUCCGUUAUCCAGAUAUCAAUCUGUUAUCCAGAUAUGUAAAUUAUAUGUGGGCGCACACUUAACAUGUACACGGUACUACAUGCUCACAGUAAUUAAUAGAUGAUUAAAACAAGAUGGUCAGAAACAGCCUCCAACCAUUCACUACGAAUCAUUUAGCCAGGGUAAGACUGGGAAGCAGCGUAGUUGAAAGUUCAGAUGAGAUUGUAAUGGUUUCAGCCUCCAGACAGCUUAUCAAAUAUCUCGUCCAAAUUUGUCAAUUCCAUGAGAAGUAAAAUCCAUGGCAACAAUGACUAACUUCCAAAGAAAAGGAUAAAAUCUUGUCAGUUACAACUUUUCAAGGAAAGAAAUCAAAUAAAAUUACUCUGCGGACUAUUCCGUAAUACUAGAAUAUGAUAAGGAUUAUGCAGUGCCAGAAAAAUUAUCAUUUCCUUCCACUAGGAACUAAUACACGCUACUCCAUUCUUUAUGGCACAAAUACAAGACAUCUCUUAUUGCCAUAAUCAAAAGUCACGUCCUCUAUUCUUCUAAUUCAGUAUUAAUUCAUUCAUCUUUUUCGCAUAAUUGCUUAAAAUGUAACAAAUCAACCAGCAGAAUAAUUUGCUCGGAAUAUUAAAGGUAAGAGUAAAUGGCUCAAAUUCUUUGACAAGUCCAAGACAGGCAAAAAGCUGAAAACCAGCCUUUUCUGCCAACUUCCAUGACAAGAGUCUGUUUUACUUGAACAGCUUACCAAUUACCAUUUUCAAAAGCCCCCGAAAGUUUUACCUCAUUUGGAUUCAAGUUCAACAAAAACAAAAAUGCUUGGUGGAGGUACCUGAUUACUAUGCCAACUAUCACUCCAACUCGGAUGCCUCUUCUGAAUCUGACAAGGGUAAAAGGGUGCAGAUUCCAAGCACAUGUCCAUUGAGGCACACAUAAUACUCAACACAAUCUUCAUAGGCACCCAACCUACAGCUGGCACUCUGUGGUAUCAUUUUGGCUUGCAGCAUGCUCCACAACUUUGCCUUGCAAUAAGGGCACACCUCUGUUGGAUGAAGCAGGGCUUUCCUUUUAAUCAGCAUCUUCCUAACCUUUGACAUUGAGAAUGACUUGAAAAUUCCACGGAAAAAUCCAACAUCACCUUCUUCCCCUUGAUCAAGAUGUUCACAAGGGUCAGAGACAUACAAAACAUCUGUUCUGCAUUGUGGCAAAAGAAAACUUUUCCCUGAAGUUCUAGAAAACCGAGUCCUGUAAACAAAAUGACCAGGGAUAUGAAUGCUAUUGAACAGGCCACCCUUGCUACAUCCUGAGCAGUAAAUAAGCAAUUUUCCAAGUGCUCUCCAAUUGCCAUCAACACUAUGACUUCCGCUAGAUUGCAGAUCAAGCAUCAUUUUUGGAGCCCUUGCUCGGCAAAACUCUUUCCAUAGCACUCGCUUGGCCAAAUCAUCAAACCAUUUGCAUACACAUGACAGGGUGGCAAUCAAUUUAGGGUUCCAGUUCAGCUGUUGAAACACUAAAAAAAUUGCAUCUUCACUUAGAUGCCCUUUUGUGCAUUGACAGCUUGAUGAGUGUAUACAACGAUAUUGCUUUGUUAAAAUCAUGGUCUCCACCUCAGAAAAAGAAGUAUCCUCUCCCCAUGACCUCAAAAACCUUUAAAAAGAAAAACAUAUGCCAAAAAGGUAGAUAAUUUUGCUACCACAGAAGGGUAUUUCCGUCCAAAAAGAAUAGAUAAUACACUUCAGAUAGAUACAGAGCAAACGCAGAGAGAUGGGAGUUUGAGGAAGAGCAGAGAAGGGCUUCGGCCUUGGGGUUCCAUAUGGAAGAAGAAAUAUUAUAAUAAGGCAAAUACUUGAACUUACAGAGUUACAGCCUUACUAAUUCUUUAAAGCAAGGACAAAUUGUAAUACGCCACGCCAUCCCACGACAACUAAGAAAAUGAGGUGUCGCUCGCAUGGAAGAUGAUGAGGACUCCUUAGUAUGAUGUGUCAGAAAAUAGUUGGAGGAAAUUUUAGCGAAAAUGAGAUUGAGGUAAUUUAAAUGUUGCCGCUGGUUUUACUGUUGAUAUUUAAAAAUUUAGUGCCGCAAAGGCAAAAUGCCAAAGCAGUAUACCAUCAUCCGCAAAAAGAUUCUAAUGUCCACGUUUCGGGCCUAUAAUUUUUUAUGGGUUCCAUCAUUGGAUUGUUACUGCUUUGCCGAUGGCAUCCUCUGAUUGGUUGGCUCCUUAUUUCCUAUUUGUCUUGAGACUUUCCCAAAAGAGUAAUGCUACUCACACCGCAUAUUAUAAAGAUACUAAAUUAAAUCAAAUAAAAUCAUUAAUAUAGUACGAGUCAUGAUUUUGAAGAAAACUCUUGAGGGUUUCAUCACAUCUGAAAAUCUAGAACUUGUGGCUGCAAAAUUUAACGCUAAUACACCUUUUCUAUUCAAAUAUGAACAUGCAAUACAAUGAUGACCCAUCAAACUCUGGAUAUAAAAAUAUGUUUAAAUUUAAGGUGGUGAAACUUCUGUUGUUGAAUUUAACUGUCAUGCUACUCUUUUCCGUCCUGAGACAGUCUUCUUUACAGCUCCUACUGAGACUAAAAAUUGAUCGAGG
Molecule: unclassified non-coding RNA, 3423 nt
Filed under: Hevea brasiliensis (rubber tree)
Lineage: Eukaryota; Viridiplantae; Streptophyta; Magnoliopsida; Malpighiales; Euphorbiaceae
Source: RNAcentral